RNAcentral lists this ribosomal RNA (387 nucleotides) under uncultured bacterium. RNAcentral describes it as "bacterial SSU rRNA". It matches the Rfam family "Bacterial small subunit ribosomal RNA", at positions 30 to 419 of the family's 1533-position model. The record is from RNAcentral.
AUUGAACGCUGGCGGCAUGCCUUACACAUGCAAGUCGAACGGCAGCGGACCUUCGGGUGCCGGCGAGUGGCGAACGGGUGAGUAAUAUAUCGGAACGUACCUUUCAGUGGGGGAUAACGUAGCGAAAGUUACGCUGAUACCGCAUAUUCUGUGAGCAGGAAAGCAGGGGAUCGCAAGACCUUGCGCUGAUUGAGCGGCCGAUAUCAGAUUAGCUAGUUGGUGAGGUAAAGGCUCACCAAGGCGACGAUCUGUAGCGGGUCUGAGAGGAUGAUCCGCCACACUGGAACUGAGACACGGUCCAGACUCCUACGGGAGGCAGCAGUGGGGAAUUUUGGACAAUGGGCGCAAGCCUGAUCCAGCCAUGCCGCGUGAGUGAAGAAGGCCUGG